Molecule: long non-coding RNA, 1935 nt
Filed under: Volvox carteri
Lineage: Eukaryota; Viridiplantae; Chlorophyta; Chlorophyceae; Chlamydomonadales; Volvocaceae
Description: long non-coding RNA (VCAR_LNC001595)
Source: RNAcentral
CGGCGAAUUACAAUUGAAAUAAUUGAAACGGGAACUUGCGUGGCGCAUACACGUGCGAUGGCUGCCCGAAAAGUUGAUUAACCUUGCACGUAGUCGGCCCCGGUCACUAAUGCGUACUCCGCACGAAUGAAGUCGCGGUCCUACAAACAGUAGGACAUGGUAACUGUGAAAUGAGGUAGUUAACCUACAUGAAAGCAUGACACAAUAUAGCUAAUCAAAAAGACUUCGCCAACAGGCCUGAAACUGGGAGCCGACCGUAAAGCUCUGAAACCUAAGCAUAUACCAUGUUGCAAGGACAACAAUCACCUCCAAACGCAAAUCCAGGGCAACGCGUGCAAAUGCAGCCCAUUAUCUACAGCGCCGCUGCCCUGUUGCUGCUGUGGUCGGCCCUGCAAGGGCUCCUCCAAUAUUCAAACAGAAAUUUCCUUUGCCCUGCGCCCUAUAGGAAUGUCCGCCGUGGCAGGUGCGCAGCGUCACCUGGCCGACAGCCAAUCACCUCGCCCGUCCAUCGUCCACAGCCAAACCCUUUAAUGGCGUUGGAUUAGUAGUCCGCGACAAUCUCUCGGGCUUCCCUAUGAAUCCUUAUGAUCAAGUACCUGCACGCAGAAGCGUACAGUUACGGGACUUCAGCGCUGAGGACAACGUAUACCACGAUGCGUGAUUCAGCAUGGCAUUACUCUUCCGUUAACGAUAGGGACAUGCACGUAACUCCGUACCCGCCUCUGCCAAGUUCAAUCGCCUCGUGAUAUGGGCCAAUCAGGAUGUAUAAGCACGGCCGGACCUUUCCUUUCCCCACAAGGGAGGCGGUAAUUAACAUGAACACACUCUUUUCGUACAUGCUUCCGAGAAUGGCCAUGGUGCCGCUGAGGAGCGCCUUUCCGCACCAGGGUCAUGCCGAACACUCGAAGAAUGCGAUACCUUCCAGCUGCCAGGCUGGUGCCAUUACACAGCGAAUUUGUAAUCAGCAGGCGGCGUGCACCAUGCUCCGCCGCGACACAUCCCGGUUUGCCUGUCCGUACCUCCUGGAAACAAACAUGGUCAAUUGGUUUCAGGAUCACGCGUUGGAUUGCGAAAGCUCUUCAUAUCCCGUACGGGCAUACCGAAAAGUAUACUGAGGGAUCCCAGUCUUUUGGGGGGGCCUACUCCCUGGAAUUUGGGGCCCCGACGCACCCCUGUCGACACCAGCACAGCAAACCUCUUACCCCGCCGAGUCAAGCUGCAGGGGCCAUGGCCUUCAGGACUGCUUCCGCUGACUCAUCUGCGCCUGUCUGGCCAACAUAUACGAAAGCGGACCGCUGGGGCCACACCACACAGGUGUAAAACCCCAAACCUAUAAGCUACGCGUGAGUUUUGCUAGGCUAUGGCUGAAAUGCUUGGCGUGUUGAUCUGUUUCAUGAACCUGCGCGGCCGCUUAUCUUUAAUCGCAAUAUGAAUAGUGAUGAUGACGCCUGCCACGAAGCAGCGAAGAAAGUUGUAAUUGUGCAUAUGAUGGUUGCAUUUUGCCGUCGAUUGCCGUACCUUCUUUCGUUGACGGUUGCAGUGAUGGUCACAGUGGACUCAGAAGUACUGUACAUAGUCAACGAUGACCCAAUGGAAGAUGAGUUGUAACAAAUUGCUUUUAGUCUUCAAUACGCGUAGCUUUUGGCCAGCUGCCCAUUGCUGCUCACAGUCCUCGGUAGGACCGAAGUCGCACCCACGUGAUGCUUGCCAUAUCGAAAUGGAAGGAAUUAUCUAAUUUAUAAUAAUUUGGGGCGCCUUGAACCUAGGGAGCCCCAGAGGGGGCAGCACGAAUGAUUUCUCAAUUCUAUAUCCUCUCAUCUAGGGGAGAUGUGAUAAUCCGCAAAGACUAUCUCGGUGAUGUGCCGCGUACCUCGUCCGAGACGUUCUUUCGAAAUGCGAAGUUCUGGAAAGAAGGCGAUGGAGAAGCACCUCCAG